GGUAGUGGGGGACAACAUGGGGAAACUCAUGCUAAUACCGCAUACGCCCUAUGGGGGAAAGCGGGGGACCUUCGGGCCUCGCGCUAUCAGAUGAGCCUGCGUAGGAUUAGCUUGUUGGUGAGGUAAAGGCUCACCAAGGCGACGAUCCUUAGCUGGUCUGAGAGGAUGAUCAGCCACACUGGAACUGAGACACGGCCCAGACUCCUACGGGAGGCAGCAGUGGGGAAUAUUGCGCAAUGGGCGAAAGCCUGACGCAGCCAUGCCGCGUGUGUGAAGAAGGCCUUAGGGUUGUAAAGCACUUUCAAUUGGGAAGAAAGGUUGCGUGUUAAUAGCACGUAGCUGUGACGUUACCUUUAGAAGAAGCACCGGCUAACUCCGUGCCAGCAGCCGCGGUAAUACGGAGGGUGCGAGCGUUAAUCGGAAUUACUGGGCGUAAAGCGCGCGUAGGCGGUUUGUUAAGUCGGAUGUGAAAGCCCCGGGCUCAACCUGGGAAUUGCAUUCGAUACUGGCCGACUAGAGUACGAGAGAGGGAGGUAGAAUUCCACGUGUAGCGGUGAAAUGCGUAGAUAUGUGGAGGAAUACCGGUGGCGAAGGCGGCCUCCUGGCUCGAUACUGACGCUGAGGUGCGAAAGCGUGGGUAGCAAACAGGAUUAGAUACCCUGGUAGUCCACGCCGUAAACGAUGUCUACUAGCCGUUGGGAGACUUGAUUUCUUAGUGGCGCAGCUAACGCACUAAGUAGACCGCCUGGGGAGUACGGCCGCAAGGUUAAAACUCAAAUGAAUUGACGG
This 789-nucleotide ribosomal RNA is filed under the name uncultured Gammaproteobacteria bacterium. RNAcentral describes it as "bacterial SSU rRNA". It matches the Rfam family "Bacterial small subunit ribosomal RNA", at positions 132 to 916 of the family's 1533-position model. The record is from RNAcentral. Lineage: Bacteria; Pseudomonadati; Pseudomonadota; Gammaproteobacteria.